GAUGAAGAACGUAGCGAAAUGCGAUAAGUAAUGUGAAUUGCAGAAUUCAGUGAAUCAUCGAAUCUUUGAACGCACAUUGCGCCCCUUGGUAUUCCGAGGGGCAUGCCUGUUCGAGCGUCAUUAUAACCCCUCAAGCUCAGCUUGGUGUUGGGGCCUGCUGCACUGGCAGCCCUUGAAAUCAGUGGCGGCGCCAUCUGGCUCUAAGCGUAGUAAUUCUUCUCGCUAUGGAGUCCUGGUGGAUGCUUGCCAUCAACCCCCAAUUUUUCUAUGGUUGACCUCGGAUCAGGUAGGGAUACCCGCUGAACUUAAGCAUAUCAAUAAGCGGAGGA
Molecule: unclassified non-coding RNA, 329 nt
Filed under: soil metagenome
Description: partial contains 5.8S ribosomal RNA, internal transcribed spacer 2, and large subunit ribosomal RNA
Rfam family: 5.8S ribosomal RNA (bases 1-120)
Source: RNAcentral